UCAGUCAGCAUCUCAUGUGGUCCCGGCUGCCCUCUAAUUCAGUAUGGAGCUGAAAAUGACCUUGAACUUCUGGUCGUCCUGCCUCCAGCUCGCUAGUGCCAGGAUUACAGGUUCUGAGGGCCCCUCAGCCACUCAUUCAAUGAAUACUGAAUUCUGAGGACCUGUCACCCACCUAGCAGAUGGCAAUGGAUUCAGGCAAUGCAGGACUUGCUGAAGAUUCUAACCUCCAGCUCAUCAUUUCUCAACCAUCCCUGAAGACCAGUGCUUAAUGGCCAGCAAAAUAAUUAAUGUUCUUAUUGGACUUGUGUGGUUAGGCAUGGACACCAGCAGAUGACAAGUGAAGUCCAGAAUGGACCCAGUGCUGACUGCAGAGAUGAUGGUGCGUGCAGCUGACCCCAUAUGGAUGACUUGGGAAAUCUCUAAGCCAGAUGAAGAUUCUGCUCUGUCAGAUUCAUGUGGACUAAUAUGCUGGCCAGCUGCUUCCUUGUAAAUGUCACUGGGGGUUGGGCUUUGAGGUUUUAGAAACUCAAACCAGACCCACUGGCUCAUUCACUCUUCCUGCUGCCUGCACAUCCAUAUGUAGAACACUCAGCUAUCUCUCUAGCACCAUGACUACAUGCAUGCCACCAUGCUCCCCACAAUGAUGACAAUGGACUAACCUCUGAACUGUAAGUCAGUCCCAAAUAAAUAUUUUCCUUAUAAAA
Molecule: long non-coding RNA, 704 nt
Organism: Mesocricetus auratus (golden hamster)
Lineage: Eukaryota; Metazoa; Chordata; Mammalia; Rodentia; Cricetidae
Exons: 3
Source: RefSeq, a predicted model, not a curated record